Molecule: signal recognition particle RNA, 148 nt
Filed under: Pan troglodytes (chimpanzee)
Lineage: Eukaryota; Metazoa; Chordata; Mammalia; Primates; Hominidae
Description: Metazoan signal recognition particle RNA
Rfam family: Metazoan signal recognition particle RNA
About the family: The signal recognition particle (SRP) is a universally conserved ribonucleoprotein. It is involved in the co-translational targeting of proteins to membranes.
Source: Rfam by way of RNAcentral
GCCAGGUGUGGUGGUGCACGCCUGUAGUCCCAGCUCCUUGGGAGGCUGAGGCAGGAGGAUUGCUUGAGCCUAGGAGUUCAAGGCUGCAGUGAGCUAUGAUUGCACCACUGCACUCCAGCCUGGGCGACAGAGCAAGAACCUAUCUCUA